This 327-nucleotide ribosomal RNA is filed under the name uncultured eukaryote. RNAcentral describes it as "partial 18S ribosomal RNA". It matches the Rfam family "Eukaryotic small subunit ribosomal RNA", at positions 1470 to 1796 of the family's 1831-position model. The record is from RNAcentral.
CCCUUAGAUGUUCUGGGCCGCACGCGCGCUACACUGACGAAUGCAACGAGCUUAUAACCUUGGCCGAAAGGUCUGGGUAAUCUCCAAAUUUCGUCGUGAUGGGGAUAGAUUAUUGCAAUUAUUAAUCUUCAACGAGGAAUGCCUAGUAAGCGCAAGUCAUCAGCUUGCGUUGAUCACGUCCCUGCCCUUUGUACACACCGCCCGUCGCUCCUACCGAUUGAAUGGUCCGGUGAAGCGCUCGGACCGCGGCCUCUUGACGGUUCGCUGUCGAUUGGCUGUGGGAAGUUCGUUAAACCUUAUCAUUUAGAGGAAGGAGAAGUCGUAACA